UACGUAGGUGGCAAGCGUUGUCCGGAUUUACUGGGCGUAAAGAGCGCGCAGGCGGUCGAUCAAGUCGCGUGUGAAAGCCCCCGGCUCAACUGGGGAGGGUCACGCGAUACUGAUCGACUCGAAGGCAGGAGAGGGUAGUGGAAUUCCCGGUGUAGUGGUGAAAUGCGUAGAUAUCGGGAGGAACACCAGUGGCGAAGGCGACUACCUGGCUUGUUUCUUGACGCUGAGGCGCGAAAGCUAGGGGAGCAAACGGG
RNAcentral lists this ribosomal RNA (254 nucleotides) under uncultured bacterium. RNAcentral describes it as "partial 16S ribosomal RNA". It matches the Rfam family "Bacterial small subunit ribosomal RNA", at positions 524 to 776 of the family's 1533-position model. The record is from RNAcentral.